GGGUCGGUCAAUAUUCUUCCGUGGGCCCAUUACACAAUUUUUUGCAAUUCCGUGAAACUGCCACAGAUUUUGAGUUGAGGACCCGUGUUCAUUUCACAGAUUUCUGUGAGAUCAGG
Etheostoma cragini (Arkansas darter) is the source of this 116-nucleotide long non-coding RNA. RefSeq lists it as uncharacterized. The transcript is spliced from 3 exons. Lineage: Eukaryota; Metazoa; Chordata; Actinopteri; Perciformes; Percidae. The record is from RefSeq and is a predicted model, not a curated record.